GAAACCCCUGAAGGCAGAAGCUGUGCUUUGUGUCUCUGUGUUCCCGUUGCACAGUCCAGUGCUGGCCAUAGGAGGCCCUCUCCAGCGGCCAUUGGAUGGGAAAAUGGCCACACUUCCUUUCUGGAAUCUACUCGUUAGCAGCCUAAUGUAAAAGACAUGAGGGCAGGACUACCCCCACCCCAAUUUCCCCAGGACCCAGCAUAAUCUUUUGCAUGGUGCUUCUUAAAGCCAUUUCCGGGGCAGAAGAGGACCAUGUCAUCAAGCUGAAGAAGGUGUUCGUUGGAUGCUUCCGCAGCAGGAGGGCGGGUCCACUCUCAAUCCCUCUCUAUCCCUUGUCAGCUUAAAAAGGAGGUCAGAAUCUUAUUGGAAAAGGGACCUGUGGUGGUGACUUCAAGCUGGCUACGUUAUCCUCACUCCUGCGCUCAAAUUUGGGCUGGUCCUGUCACUAGCUUUGACCAGUGGGCUGUGAUGGGAACAGUGUUGCAUAAUCUCCAAGGCUGGGCCUUAAAGGAUCUGCAGCUCUGGCUUUUGCCACUCUUAGAGUACUUCUUCCUGGAAGCCAGCCACCAUGUAAGGAACCAGACCUCCCUAAGAGCACCAUGCUGUGAGGAAGCCCAAGCGAGUGGCCUGGAAUGAGAGUGUGAGAGCAGCACAGAAGCAGUUCAUGAGGUCAAUCGUUUCUGCUGCUCCUGGGCUAGACACAGAGAAGUUGUAGAGGUGGCAUCAGGAGAUGGUUCUCACUCUGGCUUUGCAACUGAAACAGCUGGGCGAUGUCAUGGAAGUCACUUCAAUUCUCCUGGCCUCUUUCUUCAGAUGAUGUCUAAGGUCUCUUCCAGCUUAAAGGAAUGGUUGUAUUUGUCUUCCGAUGGAGAGCAGGUAUCCAAGAGGCCCAUUAGGCUGGUCCUUGGGAGGCUGUAGGAAUGAGAGUCAGUGGCAAGUUCUCAGAUUGUGAUGAUAAUAGACUGUGUAUCCCAGGGAUGAAGGAAGAGAAGUAGAAAGGAUUUUCUAGACUGGAGAAGCUGGUCAGUGAAAAAAUAGGAGAUUGCAUUCCAGACACCAGAGAGCUAUAAGAAAAAUUGCAUCUGUUUUCAUUAAAUGUUAGAGAUGACUUUGAACAGAACCCAAGUGAAACUGCAAACACAUCUGAGAAAAUCCUAGCGCCAUCUUGGAUCUCAGAAACUCCAGCCAGCUCUCUAGUCACAAGUAGUUCACAAACUACCCUCCUAUUAGCUCAUUAAUAACACUCCGGGACAGGGCAAUGCUUCCAUUUGUCCAACUAUUUCUCUGAUAUCAGAUCAUAAAAUCAUACUUCUUGAAAGUCACCUAUUCUUGAACAUUUACUCUCUGAAUUGAUUUUACAACUAUAGUAUCUUAUCUAAAUCAUUUCACACUUCUUUUUAAAGUUUGAAGAUAUGUAGUGUUUCAUCUCACUUCCCUCCUUAUAUAUUUUUCUAUUAAACAUCAUAUGGAGAAAUGCGUCUACUAAAUAAUUAAUAUCAUCCACCUUUAUGAUUUUUAAUGUAUAACUAUACAUUCACAUGCCCUUGAUAUGUAUCAUAUAUACAAUGGUGUGCUUUUCUGUGUAUACUUUUGUUUUACAUUUAAACAAAGCAAACUACCUGAAUCUGGAUACAUUAAACUCUUUAAUGAUGUAAAAAAUA
Molecule: long non-coding RNA, 1661 nt
Organism: Pteropus alecto (black flying fox)
Lineage: Eukaryota; Metazoa; Chordata; Mammalia; Chiroptera; Pteropodidae
Exons: 5
Source: RefSeq, a predicted model, not a curated record